RNAcentral lists this ribosomal RNA (573 nucleotides) under bacterium S5-26. Its description in RNAcentral is "bacterial SSU rRNA". It matches the Rfam family "Bacterial small subunit ribosomal RNA", at positions 46 to 615 of the family's 1533-position model. The record is from RNAcentral.
GCCUACACAUGAAGUCGAGCGGAUGAGAGGAGCUUGCUCCUUGAUUCAGCGGCGGACGGGUGAGUAAUGCCUAGGAAUCUGCCUGUUAGUGGGGGAUAACGUUCCGAAAGGAACGCUUAAUACCGAAUACGUCCUACGGGAGACAGUGGGGGGAUCUUCGGACCUCACGAUAACAGAUGAGCCUAGGUCGGAUUAGCUAGUAGGUGAGGUAAUGGCUCACCUAGGCGACGAUCCGUAGCUGGUCUGAGAGGAUGAUCAGCCACACUGGAACUGAGACACGGUCCAGACUCCUACGGGAGGCAGCAGUGGGGAAUAUUGGACAAUGGGCGAAAGCUGAUCCAGCCAUGCCGCGUGUGUGAAGAAGGUCUUCGGAUUGUAAAGCACUUUAAGUUGGGAGGAAGGGCUCUUGGCUAAUACCCAGGAGUUUUGACGUUACCGACAGAAUAAGCACCGGCUAACUCUGUGCCAGCAGCCGCGGUAAUACAGAGGGUGCAAGCGUUAAUCGGGAAUUACUGGGCGUAAAGCGCGCGUAGGUGGUUUGUCAAGUCGGAUGUGAAAGCCCCGGCUCAACCU